Molecule: ribosomal RNA, 664 nt
Filed under: uncultured bacterium
Lineage: Bacteria
Description: bacterial SSU rRNA
Rfam family: Bacterial small subunit ribosomal RNA
Source: RNAcentral
CAUGCAAGUCGAACGGCAGCGCGGGAGCAAUCCUGGCGGCGAGUGGCGAACGGGUGAGUAAUACAUCGGAACGUGCCCAAUCGUGGGGGAUAACGCAGCGAAAGCUGUGCUAAUACCGCAUACGAUCUACGGAUGAAAGCAGGGGAUCGCAAGACCUUGCGCGAAUGGAGCGGCCGAUGGCAGAUUAGGUAGUUGGUGAGGUAAAGGCUCACCAAGCCUUCGAUCUGUAGCUGGUCUGAGAGGACGACCAGCCACACUGGGACUGAGACACGGCCCAGACUCCUACGGGAGGCAGCAGUGGGGAAUUUUGGACAAUGGGCGAAAGCCUGAUCCAGCCAUGCCGCGUGCAGGAUGAAGGCCUUCGGGUUGUAAACUGCUUUUGUACGGAACGAAACGGCCUUUUCUAAUAAAGAGGGCUAAUGACGGUACCGUAAGAAUAAGCACCGGCUAACUACGUGCCAGCAGCCGCGGUAAUACGUAGGGUGCAAGCGUUAAUCGGAAUUACUGGGCGUAAAGCGUGCGCAGGCGGUAAUGUAAGACAGUUGUGAAAUCCCCGGGCUCAACCUGGGAACUGCAUCUGUGACUGCAUUGCUGGAGUACGGUAGAGGGGGAUGGAAUUCCGCGUGUAGCAGUGAAAUGCGUAGAUAUGCGGAGGAACACCGAU